RNAcentral lists this long non-coding RNA (571 nucleotides) under Equus caballus (horse). Its description in RNAcentral is "lncRNA (ENSECAG00000045329.1)". The record is from RNAcentral. Lineage: Eukaryota; Metazoa; Chordata; Mammalia; Perissodactyla; Equidae.
GAUCUAGCAGUGGGUCUAGCAGCUACCAGAAUUUCGAGGUAGUGAAGGGCAUAAAUGCUGCUCUGAGGCAUCUGCAGCAGCUAUAAUGGGAUACAAAAUAAUCUAUGCUUGGUAUUAGCGACAAUGUCACAAGUACUGCUAACGCUACUCUGAUUUGUUGCCUAUAUUCAUAACUGAAAUAAGUGCUGCAUUUCAGCUGGAGGUCAGCAAAAAUAAAGGUACAGGGUUUUGUCCUAUCCAAGUUCACAGACCCAGAUCACAAAUGCCUGCAUUAGAGUCGUGACGAGCACUUUUUUAAUGAAAGAAUAAUACACAUAGAUCAGCGUGCAUUGCUAAUAAUAAGAGUCCUCGUCACAGUCAACAACGUCUGUGAGUUACUGCAGCUUGUCCCUCUCGGUGAGCUCCAUGCAGGCAACGACCUAGUCUUACCUGUGUUCCAAGCACCCAGCACCGAGCCUGGCCUGGGGUGGAGGGAGAGAAAAUGAGCAUUGACAAGGGAUGUCGCUCAAGACGGCAGGAGGAGUUGACCUCACAGUCAACUGCUACAGGUCCAGCUUCUCGCUCCUGAAGA